RNAcentral lists this ribosomal RNA (253 nucleotides) under uncultured bacterium. RNAcentral describes it as "partial 16S ribosomal RNA". It matches the Rfam family "Bacterial small subunit ribosomal RNA", at positions 524 to 776 of the family's 1533-position model. The record is from RNAcentral.
UACGUAGGGAGCAAGCGUUGUCCGGAAUCAUUGGGCGUAAAGCGCGCGUAGGUGGCCUCAUAAGUCCGCUGUGAAAGUCAAAGGCUCAACCUUUGAAAGCCGGUGGAUACUGUGAGGCUAGAGUACGGAAGAGGCGAGUGGAAUUCCUGGUGUAGCGGUGGAAUGCGCAGAUAUCAGGAGGAACACCGGUGGCGAAGGCGGGUCUCUGGGCAGUAACUGACGCUGAGGAGCGAAAGCGUGGGGAGCGAACAGG